GACGAACGCUGGCGGCGUGCUUAACACAUGCAAGUCGAACGGAAAGGCCCUGCUUUUGUGGGGUGCUCGAGUGGCGAACGGGUGAGUAACACGUGAGUAACCUGCCCUUGACUUUGGGAUAACUUCAGGAAACUGGGGCUAAUACCGGAUAGGAGCUCCUGCUGCAUGGUGGGGGUUGGAAAGUUUCGGCGGUUGGGGAUGGACUCGCGGCUUAUCAGCUUGUUGGUGGGGUAGUGGCUUACCAAGGCUUUGACGGGUAGCCGGCCUGAGAGGGUGACCGGCCACAUUGGGACUGAGAUACGGCCCAGACUCCUACGGGAGGCAGCAGUGGGGAAUAUUGCACAAUGGGCUGAAGCCUGAUGCAGCAACGCCGCGUGCGGGAUGACGGCCUUCGGUUUGUAAACCGCUUUCGCCUGUGACGAAGCGUGAGUGACGGUAAUGGGUAAAGAAGCACCGGCUAACUACGUG
Molecule: ribosomal RNA, 468 nt
Filed under: uncultured bacterium
Lineage: Bacteria
Description: partial 16S ribosomal RNA
Rfam family: Bacterial small subunit ribosomal RNA
Source: RNAcentral